Molecule: microRNA precursor, 218 nt
Filed under: Medicago truncatula (barrel medic)
Lineage: Eukaryota; Viridiplantae; Streptophyta; Magnoliopsida; Fabales; Fabaceae
Description: MIR2655 microRNA precursor family
Rfam family: MIR2655 microRNA precursor family
Source: Rfam by way of RNAcentral
CCCUUAACUAUUAAAAGUUUCCUUUUGGUCCCUUAACUUAUUUUUUGGUUUCGUUUUGGUCCCUUAACUCUUCCUCCGUCAACCACUUUGGUCCUUUAUGUUAGGAUGAAUGUAUUAGAGUUAAGGACCAAAACAAAAUCAAAAAAUAAGUUAAGUGACCAAAUCGAAACCAAAAAAUAAGUUAAGGGACCAAAACGAAACUUUUAAUAGUUAAGGGA